UGUGUGCGAGUCAUGGGUCUUGAAUAGGCCCAGAGGCGCAAUGAAAGCAAAGGCCGGAGGACUCCGGCCGUGUCGGGAUCCCUGCAGUUCUUCUGUGGGGCGCACCGACGACCCGCCCCGUUCCACUCGUGGAUGAGGCGGAGUCCGAGCACACACGUUGUGACCCGAAAGAUGGUGACCUAUGCCCGGACAGGGUGAAGACAGAGGAAACUCUGUUGGAAGCUCGUAGCGGUUCUGACGUGCAAAUCGAUCGUCAGAUCCGGGUUUAGCGGCGCUAGACUAAUCGAACCAUCUA
Molecule: ribosomal RNA, 295 nt
Filed under: Centromerus trilobus
Lineage: Eukaryota; Metazoa; Arthropoda; Arachnida; Araneae; Linyphiidae
Description: partial 28S ribosomal RNA
Rfam family: Eukaryotic large subunit ribosomal RNA
Source: RNAcentral